RNAcentral lists this ribosomal RNA (1328 nucleotides) under uncultured bacterium. Its description in RNAcentral is "bacterial SSU rRNA". It matches the Rfam family "Bacterial small subunit ribosomal RNA", at positions 28 to 1381 of the family's 1533-position model. The record is from RNAcentral.
GAUGAACGCUGGCGGCGCGCCUAACACAUGCAAGUCGAACGGCACCUGCCCUCGGGCAGAAGCGAGUGGCGAACGGCUGAGUAACACGUGGAGAACCUGCCCCCUCCCCCGGGAUAGCCGCCCGAAAGGACGGGUAAUACCGGAUACCCCCGGGCGCCGCAUGGCGCCCGGGCUAAAGCCCCGACGGGAGGGGAUGGCUCCGCGGCCCAUCAGGUAGACGGCGGGGUGACGGCCCACCGUGCCGACAACGGGUAGCCGGGUUGAGAGACCGACCGGCCAGAUUGGGACUGAGACACGGCCCAGACUCCUACGGGAGGCAGCAGUGGGGAAUCUUGCGCAAUGGGGGGAACCCUGACGCAGCGACGCCGCGUGCGGGACGGAGGCCUUCGGGUCGUAAACCGCUUUCAGCAGGGAAGAGUCAAGACUGUACCUGCAGAAGAAGCCCCGGCUAACUACGUGCCAGCAGCCGCGGUAAUACGUAGGGGGCGAGCGUUAUCCGGAUUCAUUGGGCGUAAAGCGCGCGUAGGCGGCCCGGCAGGCCGGGGGUCGAAGCGGUGGGCUCAACCCCCCGAAGCCCCCGGAACUUCCGCGGCUUGGGUCCGGUAGGGGAGGGUGGAACACCCGGUGUAGCGGUGGAAUGCGCAGAUAUCGGGUGGAACACCGGUGGCGAAGGCGGCCCUCUGGGGCCGAGACCGACGCUGAGGCGCGAAAGCUGGGGGAGCGAACAGGAUUAGAUACCCUGGUAGUCCCAGCCGUAAACGAUGGACGCUAGGUGUGGGGGGACGAUCCCCCCGUGCCGCAGCCAACGCAUUAAGCGUCCCGCCUGGGGAGUACGGCCGCAAGGCUAAAACUCAAAGGAAUUGACGGGGGCCCGCACAAGCAGCGGAGCAUGUGGCUUAAUUCGAAGCAACGCGAAGAACCUUACCAGGGCUUGACAUAUGGGUGAAGCGGGGGAGACCCCGUGGCCGAGAGGAGCCCAUACAGGUGGUGCAUGGCUGUCGUCAGCUCGUGUCGUGAGAUGUUGGGUUAAGUCCCGCAACGAGCGCAACCCCCGCCGCGUGUUGCCAUCGGGUGAUGCCGGGAACCCACGCGGGACCGCCGCCGUCAAGGCGGAGGAGGGCGGGGACGACGUCAAGUCAUCAUGCCCCUUAUGCCCUGGGCUGCACACGUGCUACAAUGGCCGGUACAGAGGGAUGCCACCCCGCGAGGGGGAGCGGAUCCCGGAAAGCCGGCCCCAGUUCGGAUUGGGGGCUGCAACCCGCCCCCAUGAAGUCGGAGUUGCUAGUAAUCGCGGAUCAGCAUGCCGCGGUGAAUGCGUUCCCGGGCCU